Molecule: long non-coding RNA, 701 nt
Organism: Zingiber officinale
Lineage: Eukaryota; Viridiplantae; Streptophyta; Magnoliopsida; Zingiberales; Zingiberaceae
Exons: 3
Source: RefSeq, a predicted model, not a curated record
UGAGUCCUUAAUAGAAUCCUCUAGCCAUGGUUUGCAUCUCGGUGCGCCGCCGGUGCCCUCGAUCUCGUCGAAUUCAUUUCGGGCCUUUCUUUUUCUCUAUUUCUCGAUUCGGGGUCCCGGAGUCUGGAUACUGGAAGAGAGUAGGACUAGGGCUUUUGGUCUCGCACCAUGGACGAAUCGUUCUCGGAUGCUGCAGGAAACGUAAUCAGGGAGAGAGCAACUAACGGACUGAACCCUGGACUGGUGGUCUUGCUUUUUAUUGGUGGACUUGUAUUGUUAUUCCUUGUUGGCAAUUAUGCUCUCUAUACUUAUGCACAGAGAACCCUUCCGCCUAGGAAGAAGAAGCCCGUGUCAAAAAAGAAGAUGAAGAAGGAAAGGCUCAGGCAGGGGGUCAGUGCCCCUGGAGAAUAAACAUGCCCUAAUAAACGAAGUGGGAGAACCCUAUCAACUGUUUCGAGGUUUGGUUCCAUGCCGAUAUGCAUUUGAAACUGAGUUGUGUUGUAGCAGUGUGUGUGAACUUUGAAUUUCCCUGUUCAAUUGGUGUCAGUCCAACUAGUACUGCUUGUCUGAAGAAGAAUUGUUGUGAUUUACUAGUCUUGAAUUGGUAUAUUAGGGUCCGAUCUCCUAGUACAUUUGUUUAGUAUCAAUAGUUUGUGUUUUUUCCUUUCAGUUAAUAAAUAGUACAUCAAUUUCUAGUGUAA